ACUUAGGUAGUUUAAAUAAAAUGUUGGUCUGUGAAUCCGGAGAUGUGCUUAAGCACCUUGAGUA
This 64-nucleotide transfer RNA is filed under the name Typhlatya iliffei. RNAcentral's name for it is "tRNA-His". It matches the Rfam family "tRNA". From Rfam's summary of the family: Transfer RNA (tRNA) molecules are approximately 80 nucleotides in length. Their secondary structure includes four short double-helical elements and three loops (D, anti-codon, and T loops). Further hydrogen bonds mediate the characteristic L-shaped molecular structure. tRNAs have two regions of fundamental functional importance: the anti-codon, which is responsible for specific mRNA codon recognition, and the 3' end, to which the tRNAs corresponding amino acid is attached (by aminoacyl-tRNA synthetases). tRNAs cope with the degeneracy of the genetic code in two manners: having more than one tRNA (with a specific anti-codon) for a particular amino acid; and 'wobble' base-pairing, i.e. permitting non-standard base-pairing at the 3rd anti-codon position. The record is from RNAcentral. Lineage: Eukaryota; Metazoa; Arthropoda; Malacostraca; Decapoda; Atyidae.